GGUUAAGCGACUAAGCGUACACGGUGGAUGCCCUGGCAGUCAGAGGCGAUGAAGGACGUGCUAAUCUGCGAUAAGCGUCGGUAAGGUGAUAUGAACCGUUAUAACCGGCGAUUUCCGAAUGGGGAAACCCAGUGUGUUUCGACACACUAUCAUUAACUGAAUCCAUAGGUUAAUGAGGCGAACCGGGGGAACUGAAACAUCUAAGUACCCCGAGGAAAAGAAAUCAACCGAGAUUCCCCCAGUAGCGGCGAGCGAACGGGGAGCAGCCCAGAGCCUGAAUCAGUGUGUGUGUUAGUGGAAGCGUCUGGAAAGGCGCGCGAUACAGGGUGACAGCCCCGUACACAAAAAUGCACAUGCUGUGAGCUCGAUGAGUAGGGCGGGACACGUGGUAUCCUGUCUGAAUAUGGGGGGACCAUCCUCCAAGGCUAAAUACUCCUGACUGACCGAUAGUGAACCAGUACCGUGAGGGAAAGGCGAAAAGAACCCCGGCGAGGGGAGUGAAAAAGAACCUGAAACCGUGUACGUACAAGCAGUGGGAGCACGCUUAGGCGUGUGACUGCGUACCUUUUGUAUAAUGGGUCAGCGACUUAUAUUCUGUAGCAAGGUUAACCGAAUAGGGGAGCCGAAGGGAAACCGAGUCUUAACUGGGCGUUAAGUUGCAGGGUAUAGACCCGAAACCCGGUGAUCUAGCCAUGGGCAGGUUGAAGGUUGGGUAACACUAACUGGAGGACCGAACCGACUAAUGUUGAAAAAUUAGCGGAUGACUUGUGGCUGGGGGUGAAAGGCCAAUCAAACCGGGAGAUAGCUGGUUCUCCCCGAAAGCUAUUUAGGUAGCGCCUCGUGAAUUCAUCUCCGGGGGUAGAGCACUGUUUCGGCAAGGGGGUCAUCCCGACUUACCAACCCGAUGCAAACUGCGAAUACCGGAGAAUGUUAUCACGGGAGACACACGGCGGGUGCUAACGUCCGUCGUGAAGAGGGAAACAACCCAGACCGCCAGCUAAGGUCCCAAAGUCAUGGUUAAGUGGGAAACGAUGUGGGAAGGCCCAGACAGCCAGGAUGUUGGCUUAGAAGCAGCCAUCAUUUAAAGAAAGCGUAAUAGCUCACUGGUCGAGUCGGCCUGCGCGGAAGAUGUAACGGGGCUAAACCAUGCACCGAAGCUGCGGCAGCGACACUAUGUGUUGUUGGGUAGGGGAGCGUUCUGUAAGCCUGUGAAGGUGUACUGUGAGGUAUGCUGGAGGUAUCAGAAGUGCGAAUGCUGACAUAAGUAACGAUAAAGCGGGUGAAAAGCCCGCUCGCCGGAAGACCAAGGGUUCCUGUCCAACGUUAAUCGGGGCAGGGUGAGUCGACCCCUAAGGCGAGGCCGAAAGGCGUAGUCGAUGGGAAACAGGUUAAUAUUCCUGUACUUGGUGUUACUGCGAAGGGGGGACGGAGAAGGCUAUGUUGGCCGGGCGACGGUUGUCCCGGUUUAAGCGUGUAGGCUGGUUUUCCAGGCAAAUCCGGAAAAUCAAGGCUGAGGCGUGAUGACGAGGCACUACGGUGCUGAAGCAACAAAUGCCCUGCUUCCAGGAAAAGCCUCUAAGCAUCAGGUAACAUCAAAUCGUACCCCAAACCGACACAGGUGGUCAGGUAGAGAAUACCAAGGCGCUUGAGAGAACUCGGGUGAAGGAACUAGGCAAAAUGGUGCCGUAACUUCGGGAGAAGGCACGCUGAUAUGUAGGUGAAGUCCCUCGCGGAUGGAGCUGAAAUCAGUCGAAGAUACCAGCUGGCUGCAACUGUUUAUUAAAAACACAGCACUGUGCAAACACGAAAGUGGACGUAUACGGUGUGACGCCUGCCCGGUGCCGGAAGGUUAAUUGAUGGGGUUAGCCGCAAGGCGAAGCUCUUGAUCGAAGCCCCGGUAAACGGCGGCCGUAACUAUAACGGUCCUAAGGUAGCGAAAUUCCUUGUCGGGUAAGUUCCGACCUGCACGAAUGGCGUAAUGAUGGCCAGGCUGUCUCCACCCGAGACUCAGUGAAAUUGAACUCGCUGUGAAGAUGCAGUGUACCCGCGGCAAGACGGAAAGACCCCGUGAACCUUUACUAUAGCUUGACACUGAACAUUGAGCCUUGAUGUGUAGGAUAGGUGGGAGGCUUUGAAGUGUGGACGCCAGUCUGCAUGGAGCCGACCUUGAAAUACCACCCUUUAAUGUUUGAUGUUCUAACGUUGACCCGUAAUCCGGGUUGCGGACAGUGUCUGGUGGGUAGUUUGACUGGGGCGGUCUCCUCCUAAAGAGUAACGGAGGAGCACGAAGGUUGGCUAAUCCUGGUCGGACAUCAGGAGGUUAGUGCAAUGGCAUAAGCCAGCUUGACUGCGAGCGUGACGGCGCGAGCAGGUGCGAAAGCAGGUCAUAGUGAUCCGGUGGUUCUGAAUGGAAGGGCCAUCGCUCAACGGAUAAAAGGUACUCCGGGGAUAACAGGCUGAUACCGCCCAAGAGUUCAUAUCGACGGCGGUGUUUGGCACCUCGAUGUCGGCUCAUCACAUCCUGGGGCUGAAGUAGGUCCCAAGGGUAUGGCUGUUCGCCAUUUAAAGUGGUACGCGAGCUGGGUUUAGAACGUCGUGAGACAGUUCGGUCCCUAUCUGCCGUGGGCGCUGGAGAACUGAGGGGGGCUGCUCCUAGUACGAGAGGACCGGAGUGGACGCAUCACUGGUGUUCGGGUUGUCAUGCCAAUGGCACUGCCCGGUAGCUAAAUGCGGAAGAGAUAAGUGCUGAAAGCAUCUAAGCACGAAACUUGCCCCGAGAUGAGUUCUCCCUGACCCUUUAAGGGUCCUGAAGGAACGUUGAAGACGACGACGUUGAUAGGCCGGGUGUGUAAGCGCAGCGAUGCGUUGAGCUAACCGGUACUAAUGAACCGUGAGGCUUAACCUU
Molecule: ribosomal RNA, 2905 nt
Filed under: Escherichia coli
Lineage: Bacteria; Pseudomonadati; Pseudomonadota; Gammaproteobacteria; Enterobacterales; Enterobacteriaceae
Also listed under: 1 other name
Description: 23S ribosomal RNA
Rfam family: Bacterial large subunit ribosomal RNA
Source: RNAcentral